CCUACGGGAGGCAGCAGUGGGGGAUAUUGCACAAUGGGGGCAACCCUGAUGCAGCGACGCCGCGUGGGUGAAGGAGGGUUUCGGCUCGUAAAGCCCUAUCGGCAGGGAAGAAAAAGACGGUACCUGACCAAGAAGCCCCCGGUAAAUUCGUUCCAGCAGCCGCGGGAAAACGUAGGGGGCAAGCGUUUUCCGGAUGUACUGGGUGUAAAGGGGGCGGAGACGGGAAUGCAAGCUAGUAGUGAAAGCCCUCGGCACAACCCCGGGACUGCACGUAAAACUGAAUGGCUUGAGUACAGUAGGGGCAUGUGGAAUUCCUAGUGGAGCGGUGAAAUGCGUAGAUAUUAGGAGGAACACCAGUGGCGAAGGCGGCUUGCUGGACUGUAACUGACGUUGAGGCACGAAGGUGUGGGGAGCAAACAGGAUUAGAUACCCCUGUAGUC
This 440-nucleotide ribosomal RNA is filed under the name uncultured bacterium. Its description in RNAcentral is "partial 16S ribosomal RNA". It matches the Rfam family "Bacterial small subunit ribosomal RNA", at positions 338 to 795 of the family's 1533-position model. The record is from RNAcentral.